AGAAUUGAUCUGGUUCAGGACGAACGCUGGCGGCGUGCCUAACACAUGCAAGUCGAACGGAGAUACUUUGAAGCUUGCGAUAAAGUAUCUUAGUGGCGGACGGGUGAGUAACGCGUGGGUAAUCUGCCCAUAAGUGGGGAACAACGGUUGGAAACGACUGCUAAUACCGCAUAAUCUGCCUUAGGGGUAGGAAAGGUGGCCUCUUAACAAUGCUGCCGCUUAUGGAUGAGCCCCGCGUCUGAUUAGCUAGUUGGUGGGGUAAAGGCCUACCAAGGCGACGAUCAGUAGCCGGCCUGAGGGGGUGAACGGCCACACUGGGACUGAGACACGGCCCAGACUCCUACGGGAGGCAGCAGUGGGGAAUAUUGCGCAAUGGGGGAAACCCUGACGCAGCGACGCCGCGUGAGCGAAGAAGGCCUUAGGGUUGUAAAGCUCUGUUUUAGGGGACGAAUGUUCAUAGGAGUAAUAUGCCUGUGAAAUGACGGUACCCUAAGAGGAAGCCCCGGCUAACUACGUGCCAGCCGCUGC
RNAcentral lists this ribosomal RNA (528 nucleotides) under uncultured bacterium. Its description in RNAcentral is "bacterial SSU rRNA". It matches the Rfam family "Bacterial small subunit ribosomal RNA", at positions 8 to 518 of the family's 1533-position model. The record is from RNAcentral.